RNAcentral lists this ribosomal RNA (253 nucleotides) under uncultured bacterium. Its description in RNAcentral is "partial 16S ribosomal RNA". It matches the Rfam family "Bacterial small subunit ribosomal RNA", at positions 524 to 776 of the family's 1533-position model. The record is from RNAcentral.
GACGUAGGGUCCAAGCGUUGUCCGGAUUUACUGGGCGUAAAGAGCGCGUAGGCGGUCUGUUAAGUGUAGAGUGAAAUCUCCGGGCUUACCUCGGAGGGGUCGUCCGUGACUGGCAGGCUUGGGUCUGGGAGAGGCGAGUGGAAUUCCCGGUGGAGCGGUGAAAUGCGUAGAGGUCGGGAGGAACACCAGUGGCGUAGGCGGCGUUCUGGACUGCAACUGGCACUGAGGAACGAAAGCCAGGGGAGCAAACGGG